Molecule: ribosomal RNA, 498 nt
Filed under: Providencia rettgeri
Lineage: Bacteria; Pseudomonadati; Pseudomonadota; Gammaproteobacteria; Enterobacterales; Morganellaceae
Also listed under: 2 other names
Description: bacterial SSU rRNA
Rfam family: Bacterial small subunit ribosomal RNA
Source: RNAcentral
CAGGUGCUGCAUGGCUGUCGUCAGCUCGUGUUGUGAAAUGUUGGGUUAAGUCCCGCAACGAGCGCAACCCUUAUCCUUUGUUGCCAGCGAUUCGGUCGGGAACUCAAAGGAGACUGCCGGUGAUAAACCGGAGGAAGGUGGGGAUGACGUCAAGUCAUCAUGGCCCUUACGAGUAGGGCUACACACGUGCUACAAUGGCGUAUACAAAGAGAAGCGACCUCGCGAGAGCAAGCGGAACUCAUAAAGUACGUCGUAGUCCGGAUUGGAGUCUGCAACUCGACUCCAUGAAGUCGGAAUCGCUAGUAAUCGUAGAUCAGAAUGCUACGGUGAAUACGUUCCCGGGCCUUGUACACACCGCCCGUCACACCAUGGGAGUGGGUUGCAAAAGAAGUAGGUAGCUUAACCUUCGGGAGGGCGCUUACCACUUUGUGAUUCAUGACUGGGGUGAAGUCGUAACAAGGUAACCGUAGGGGAACCUGCGGUUGGAUCACCUCCUUA